GACGAACGCUGGCGGCGUGCCUAAUACAUGCAAGUAGAACGCUGAAGGAGGAGCUUGCUUCUCUGGAUGAGUUGCGAACGGGUGAGUAACGCGUAGGUAACCUGCCUGGUAGCGGGGGAUAACUAUUGGAAACGAUAGCUAAUACCGCAUAAGAGUAGAUGUUGCAUGACAUUUGCUUAAAAGGUGCAAUUGCAUCACUACCAGAUGGACCUGCGUUGUAUUAGCUAGUUGGUGAGGUAACGGCUCACCAAGGCAACGAUACAUAGCCGACCUGAGAGGGUGGUCGGCCACACUGGGACUGAGACACGGCCCAGACUCCUACGGGAGGCAGCAGUAGGGAAUCUUCGGCAAUGGACGGAAGUCUGACCGAGCAACGCCGCGUGAGUGAAGAAGGUUUUCGGAUCGUAAAGCUCUGUUGUAAGAGAAGAACGAGUGUGAGAGUGGAAAGUUUCACACUGUGAACGGAUUUUACCAGAAAAGGACGGCA
This 487-nucleotide ribosomal RNA is filed under the name Streptococcus mitis. Its description in RNAcentral is "bacterial SSU rRNA". It matches the Rfam family "Bacterial small subunit ribosomal RNA", at positions 28 to 498 of the family's 1533-position model. Lineage: Bacteria; Bacillati; Bacillota; Bacilli; Lactobacillales; Streptococcaceae. The record is from RNAcentral.